UCAUAUAACAAGAUCUCUAUUUCCAUCUGCGUCCUAUACAAUCUCUUCCUACACAUUGCCUACUUCUAGCAUCUCUCAUCUUUAUUCUGGCAGAGUAUAAAAAGUGGACUGGAAGCUUGAUUGCUCAAGUCAAUGUGGAGUCAAUAUUCCAAAGCUCCACUCCCCAACCACUCAACAUUAAUCUAACAAAAACUUGGGUAAUCCAUUGAUCCACCUGAGUUAGCAAUUUGAACCUUAGCCCCA
Molecule: long non-coding RNA, 243 nt
Filed under: Elaeis guineensis (African oil palm)
Lineage: Eukaryota; Viridiplantae; Streptophyta; Magnoliopsida; Arecales; Arecaceae
Description: long non-coding RNA (EGUI_LNC022188)
Source: RNAcentral